RNAcentral lists this long non-coding RNA (509 nucleotides) under Equus caballus (horse). Its description in RNAcentral is "lncRNA (ENSECAG00000054182.1)". Lineage: Eukaryota; Metazoa; Chordata; Mammalia; Perissodactyla; Equidae. The record is from RNAcentral.
CUGACCUCCUGUGGGCAUAGGAAAGAAGUACAUUCACCCCACAGAUCUAAAUUUCCUGGUAUGAGCUAAGGGAGAACAUCUUAAAUCUAUCUUCCUCUCGGAAAAUUGGCCCUGUAUUUACAAACCUCCUGGGAAUAAGAUUCCACAUGUUAUUUCAUUUUGGUCCAGGAUCCAUCAGGCCCUUGUGGGAGACUGGUUGGUAGAAUCACCCAUAGCAAGCUCUGGUCAUCAACCACAGGGAGGCUGCCUCAGCCCUGAAGUCUCCGGAACCUGGAUGCUUCGGAAACUGAGCUCUGCUGCGUCGACGUCAAACAGCCUGGCUCAAAAUCUUUCUUCCUUCUGCUUUUGGAGAGCAAUUUCAACAUAUCUGUCAAGGAUCAGCUCUGUGAACUCAGCCCUUUGCUUUUUGUUCCUCCUAGGACAUUCCCAUUGCAUUGAAAGUAUCUGUUUAUCUGUUUAAUACUAGUCUAAUAGUAAUGAUAAUAUAAUAAUGAUAAUCAGCAUCAUCA